RNAcentral lists this ribosomal RNA (322 nucleotides) under uncultured Pseudomonadota bacterium. RNAcentral describes it as "bacterial SSU rRNA". It matches the Rfam family "Bacterial small subunit ribosomal RNA", at positions 30 to 351 of the family's 1533-position model. Lineage: Bacteria; Pseudomonadati; Pseudomonadota. The record is from RNAcentral.
AUUGAACGUUGGCGGCAGGCUUAACACAUGCAAGUCGAACGAGAAAGUUCCUUCGGGGAUGAGUACAGUGGCGAACGGGUGAGUAACGCGUAGGAAUCUACCUGAUAGUGGGGGAUAACUCGGGGAAACCCGAGCUAAUACCGCAUACGCUCUACGGAGGAAAGAGGGCCUCUAUUUAUAAGCUCUCGUUAUCAGAGGAGCCUGCGUUGGAUUAGCUAGUUGGUAGGGUAAAGGCCUACCAAGGCUACGAUCCAUAGCUGGUCUGAGAGGACGAUCAGCCACACUGGAACUGAGACACGGUCCAGACUCCUACGGGAGGCUG